CCUACGGGUGGCAGCAGUGAGGAAUAUUGGUCAAUGGGCGAGAGCCUGAACCAGCCAAGUCGCGUGAAGGAUGAAGGAUCUAUGGUUUGUAAACUUCUUUUAUAUGGGAAUAAAGUGAGGAACGUGUUCCUUUUUGUAUGUACCAUAUGAAUAAGCAUCGGCUAACUCCGUGCCAGCAGCCGCGGUAAUACGGAGGAUGCGAGCGUUAUCCGGAUUUAUUGGGUUUAAAGGGUGCGCAGGCGGAGGCACAAGUCAGCGGUAAAAUCGCGGGGCUCAACCCCGCUCCGCCGUUGAAACUGUGUGCCUUGAGUGCGCGAAGGGUAGGCGGAAUGCGUGGUGUAGCGGUGAAAUGCAUAGAUAUCACGCAGAACUCCGAUCGCGAAGGCAGCAUACCGGCGCGCAACUGACGCUCAUGCACGAAAGCGUGGGUAUCGAACAGGAUUAGAUACCCCGGUAGUC
Molecule: ribosomal RNA, 459 nt
Filed under: uncultured bacterium
Lineage: Bacteria
Description: partial 16S ribosomal RNA
Rfam family: Bacterial small subunit ribosomal RNA
Source: RNAcentral